GACGAACGCUGGCGGCGUGCUUAACACAUGCAAGUCGAACGGAAAGGCCCUGCUUGCUGGGUGCUCGAGUGGCGAACGGGUGAGUAACACUUGGGUGAUCUGCCCCUUAUUUUGGGAUAAGCCUGGGAAACUGGGUCUAAUACUGGAUAGGACCAUGCUGUAGGUGGUGUGGUGGAAAGAUUAGUUUCGGUAAGGGUUGAGUUCGCGGCCUAUCAGCUUGUUGGUGGGGUAAUGGCCUACCAAGCCGUCGACGGGUAGCCGGCCUGAGAGGGUGGACGGCAACAGUGAGACUGAGACACGGCCCAGGCUCCGACGGGAGGGAGAAGUGGGGAAGAUUGAAAAAGGGGAGCAAGCCUGAGGCAGCGACGCCGCGGGGGGGAGGGCGGCCUUCGGGUUGUGAACGCCUUUAAGCCAUGACGAAGCCCUUGUGGUGACGGUAGUGAUAGAAGAAGCACGCGAAAACUAUG
Molecule: ribosomal RNA, 467 nt
Filed under: uncultured bacterium
Lineage: Bacteria
Description: partial 16S ribosomal RNA
Rfam family: Bacterial small subunit ribosomal RNA
Source: RNAcentral